CGGCCCGCCAGAGGACCCCUAAACUCUGUUUCUAUAUGUAACUUCUGAGUAAAACCAUAAAUAAAUCAAAACUUUCAACAACGGAUCUCUUGGUUCUGGCAUCGAUGAAGAACGCAGCAAAAUGCGAUAAGUAAUGUGAAUUGCAGAAUUCAGUGAAUCAUCGAAUCUUUGAACGCACAUUGCGCCCGCCAGUAUUCUGGCGGGCAUGCCUGUUCGAGCGUCAUUUCAACCCUCAAGCACAGCUUGGUGUUGGGACUCGCGUUAAUUCGCGUUCCUCAAAUUGAUUGGCGGUCACGUCGAGCUUCCAUAGCGUAGUAGUAAAACCCUCGUUACUGGUAAUCGUCGCGGCCACGCCGUUAAACCCCAACUUCUGAAUGUUGACCUCGGAUCAGGUAGGAAUACCCGCUGAACUUAAGCAUAUCAAU
Molecule: ribosomal RNA, 425 nt
Filed under: Fusarium oxysporum
Lineage: Eukaryota; Fungi; Ascomycota; Sordariomycetes; Hypocreales; Nectriaceae
Description: eukaryotic LSU rRNA
Rfam family: 5.8S ribosomal RNA (bases 70-223)
Source: RNAcentral